This 784-nucleotide unclassified non-coding RNA is filed under the name Bombus terrestris (buff-tailed bumblebee). Its description in RNAcentral is "misc RNA ENSBTSG00005028501.1". The record is from RNAcentral. Lineage: Eukaryota; Metazoa; Arthropoda; Insecta; Hymenoptera; Apidae.
AUUUUCCGACUCUCCUCCGACCAGUAUAAAUAAACGGACGCGAUCGCAACGAAAGGAGUUGUCGAUCAGUUAUCAACCAGUUAUCGACGAAUUAUCAGCGAUCUAAUUAACGAGUCAUUAGCGAUCCUAUUUUACGACUUCUACACUGUCUUAGUACGAGCAUCUUUGCGAACGUUAUCUGUAUACUAAUUUAUCAUUUUAAAUAUAUUCGACGGUUUCAACAACGAGCAAUCUCGUCCAUUAAGCCUCACCGGCCAACCAUCCUCUACACACAAACCUCUACAAAUUGGUAUCUCCGACGAUGCAAUCCUGCUUUUCUUUCGCACGUUUCACAAAAAAAGCUGCGACUCGACAAAGGAACUCCUGAGAUAAAAAUUAAUGUCGAGUCACACUCGACAUACCAGUGCAAACCAGUUAAUACAACGGUUAUCUUAUUGAAACAUAUGUGCAAUCUAAAGUAAUCUAUAUAAUUUAGACGAAAUUAUCUACUGAUUACCUAUAUCAUAUAACUAUUUUGCUAAACGUGGGAAAUCUUCCAAAACUUUAAAGUAUUUUUGUAUAUAUAUGCCGGAGAUGAGGGGACAUUGGCGCCUUUCUUUUGGAAUUUUUGGGAAGAUCCCCAAUACUUUAGCCUAGACUAUUUAUUAUAGUUGUACUUAAAUUAUAAAACUUAGAAACAGUUGUUAUGAUUCAAUCCUAUUAUGUUUUCCCGAGAUUUGUAACGGUGGGCUUGGACUCGAGGUGACACAACUGGUCGCCGAACGUAGCCACGGUCACGGGAUGA